AGAGCGAACGCUGGCGGCAGGCUUAACACAUGCAAGUCGAGCGGGCGUAGCAAUACGUCAGCGGCAGACGGGUGAGUAACGCGUGGGAACGUACCUUUUGGUUCGGAACAACCCAGGGAAACUUGGGCUAAUACCGGAUAAGCCCUUACGGGGAAAGAUUUAUCGCCGAAAGAUCGGCCCGCGUCUGAUUAGCUAGUUGGUGAGGUAAUGGCUCACCAAGGCGACGAUCAGUAGCUGGUCUGAGAGGAUGAUCAGCCACAUUGGGACUGAGACACGGCCCAAACUCCUACGGGAGGCAGCAGUGGGGAAUAUUGGACAAUGGGCGCAAGCCUGAUCCAGCCAUGCCGCGUGAGUGAUGAAGGCCCUAGGGUUGUAAAGCUCUUUUGUGCGGGAAGAUAAUGACGGUACCGCAAGAAUAAGCCCGGCUAACUUCGUGCCAGCAGCCGC
This 447-nucleotide ribosomal RNA is filed under the name uncultured bacterium. RNAcentral describes it as "SSU rRNA". It matches the Rfam family "Bacterial small subunit ribosomal RNA", at positions 26 to 518 of the family's 1533-position model. The record is from RNAcentral.